This 887-nucleotide ribosomal RNA is filed under the name uncultured marine group I thaumarchaeote. RNAcentral's name for it is "SSU rRNA". It matches the Rfam family "Archaeal small subunit ribosomal RNA", at positions 13 to 905 of the family's 1478-position model. Lineage: Archaea; Thermoproteati; Nitrososphaerota. The record is from RNAcentral.
CCUGCCGGACCUGACUGCUAUCGGAUUGAUACUAAGCCAUGCGAGUCUUUGUAGUAAUACAAGGCAGACGGCUCAGUAACACGUAGUCAACCUACCCUAUGGACGAGAAUAAUCUCGGGAAACUGGGCAUAAUUCUUGAUAGAUCAUAAUGCCUGGAAUGGUUUAUGGUUAAAAUGAUUCGUCGCCAUAGGAUGGGACUGCGGCCUAUCAGCUUGUUGGUGAGGUAAUGGCCCACCAAGGCGAUUACAGGUACGGGCUCUGAGAGGAGAAGCCCGGAGAUGGGUACUGAGACACGGACCCAGGCCCUAUGGGGCGCAGCAGGCGAGAAAACUUUGCAAUGUGCGAAAGCACGACAAGGUUAAUCCGAGUGAUUUCUGCUAAAGAAAUCUUUUGCCAGUCAUAAAACCACUGGUGAAUAAGGGGUGGGCAAGUUCUGGUGUCAGCCGCCGCGGUAAAACCAGCACCUCAAGUGGUCAGGAUGAUUAUUGGGCCUAAAGCAUCCGUAGCCGGCUUUGUUAGUUUUCGGUUAAAUCCAUGUGCUCAACACAUGGGCUGCCGAAAAUACUGCAUGGCUAGGGAGUGGGAGAGGUAGACGGUACUCAGUAGGAAGGGGUAAAAUCCUUUGAUCUAUUGAUGACCACCUGUGGCGAAGGCGGUCUACCAGAACACGUUCGACGGUGAGGGAUGAAAGCUGGGGGAGCAAACCGGAUUAGAUACCCGGGUAGUCCCAGCUGUAAACGAUGCAGACUCGAUGAUGCAUUGGCAUAAUAGCCAGUGCAGUGUCGCAGGGAAGCCGUUAAGUCUGCCGCCUGGGAAGUACGUACGCAAGUAUGAAACUUAAAGGAAUUGGCGGGGGAGCACCACAAGGGGUGAAGCCUGCGGUUCAA